RNAcentral lists this long non-coding RNA (612 nucleotides) under Heterocephalus glaber (naked mole-rat). RNAcentral's name for it is "lncRNA (ENSHGLG00100034009.1)". Lineage: Eukaryota; Metazoa; Chordata; Mammalia; Rodentia; Bathyergidae. The record is from RNAcentral.
UCAAAAAAAAAAAUUCAAAAAAGACUGUAAAAUGCUAAAGAAGAAAGAUCAUCUGAAGACACAUUAUCCAGAUACAAUAACUUGUACUAGGUAGGUGCUAAUAAAUGUACUGAUUGGGUAAAUGAACUGGUGGGUAGAGCACAUUUGGCUUGAUUCCUGCUCCCUGUCAUUGGGCAAUUAAGUUAUGUGUUGUUUUUCAGCGUGGUAGAUGACUGACUUCUGGAGUUUGCUGCAUCAAGCAAGAUGGAAGAUGGGAAACCAGUGAACUGAGUCAGCCUGACUUGGCUUCCACACAGGGCCUCUGACCCUAAGAGCAGAUCCCACCUGACCACAGAAGGUGAGACCAAAGGACCAAGAAUAUGAAAACUGGAUGUCAAAGCCUUUUCAGCCCCAGCUUCUGGUGGCUCCAGGAGUCCUUUGACCUGUGGCUGCAAUGCUAUAGUCUCUGCCUCCAUCUUCAUGUGGUCUUCGUCUCUGCAUGUCUCAAGUCUCCCUCUGUGUACCACUUAAUAAGGACUUGUUGCUGGAUUUACGGUCCACAUGGAUAAUCCAGGAUGAUCUCAUCUCAGAAUCCUUAAUUACAUUUGCAAAGGUUCUUUUACCAGGUAAGGC